This 201-nucleotide long non-coding RNA is filed under the name Trifolium pratense (red clover). RNAcentral describes it as "long non-coding RNA (TPRA_LNC003337)". Lineage: Eukaryota; Viridiplantae; Streptophyta; Magnoliopsida; Fabales; Fabaceae. The record is from RNAcentral.
CUCCUCCGCUUUUGUGUUAUCCGAUGUCAAUCUUUACUGCAGCCUUCGCCACCGAUCUACCGGAUUUCUUCAAGAUUCUAAAACUUGUGAUUUUCAAUUUCUUACAUGUUAUGUUUUUUAGCAUAUUUUUCCUGUUUUUUUUUUUCCUUAUUUUUUCCUAUUAUGUCAUAGAAUGUGAUUCCUAUUCAUCGUCAUUUUAUU